Molecule: ribosomal RNA, 322 nt
Filed under: uncultured eukaryote
Lineage: Eukaryota
Description: partial 18S ribosomal RNA
Rfam family: Eukaryotic small subunit ribosomal RNA
Source: RNAcentral
CCCUUAGAUGUUCUGGGCCGCACGCGUGCUACACUGAGUGGAUCAGCGGGUCAGGUUGCGCGAAAGUGUUUCCUAAUCUUUAAAUCCGCUCGUGAUGGGGAUUGACGGUUGCAAUUUUCCGUCAUGAACGAGGAAUACCUUGUAAGCGCGGGUCAUCAUCCCGCGCUGAAUACGUCCCUGCCCUUUGUACACACCGCCCGUCGCUCCUACCGAUUGAGUGGUCCGGUGAGGCUUUGGGAUCUGAGCGGAAAGAGCGUUUCGCUGUUUCUGCCCGGAAAACUCAGUCGAACCUUAUCAUUUAGAAGAAGGAGAAGUCGUAACA